UUCAAGAUGCCAACAUUUGAAGCAAUUUUAUUUGAAUUGCACGGAGCGAAUUACUUCUCCACGAUAGAUUUAACCAACGCUUUUUUCCACAUUGUCCUGGACGAAGAAUCACGACAUGUUACGAAUUUUUUUGCGGGAGGUUAUGCAAACCAUAAUACUUACCGGAUGCGAAGGAACUGUUAACUACCUGGAUGAUAUUUUGGUGGUCGGACGAACGAAGGAUGAACAUGAUCAAAACCUGCAGAAAGUUAUCAAAAGGCUGGAAGAGCAUAAGAGGAUGGCAAGUUGAUGUAAAGAAAAUAGGUGCAAUCAAAAACUUCCGAAAACCUGAAUCACAAGCAGAGGUCAAAAGUUUCCUAGGCUUAAUUACCUUCAUUGAACGAUUCAUUCCUCAGCGUGCAGAUAAAACUCGUUAUUUACGAGAAUUGGCAUUGCUAA
Molecule: long non-coding RNA, 438 nt
Organism: Toxorhynchites rutilus septentrionalis
Lineage: Eukaryota; Metazoa; Arthropoda; Insecta; Diptera; Culicidae
Exons: 3
Source: RefSeq, a predicted model, not a curated record